RNAcentral lists this ribosomal RNA (313 nucleotides) under uncultured Pseudomonas sp. RNAcentral's name for it is "bacterial SSU rRNA". It matches the Rfam family "Bacterial small subunit ribosomal RNA", at positions 1070 to 1382 of the family's 1533-position model. The record is from RNAcentral. Lineage: Bacteria; Pseudomonadati; Pseudomonadota; Gammaproteobacteria; Pseudomonadales; Pseudomonadaceae.
GAAUGUUGGGUUAAGUCCCGUAACGAGCGCAACCCUUGUCCUUAGUUACCAGCACGUUAUGGUGGGCACUCUAAGGAGACUGCCGGUGACAAACCGGAGGAAGGUGGGGAUGACGUCAAGUCAUCAUGGCCCUUACGGCCUGGGCUACACACGUGCUACAAUGGUCGGUACAAAGGGUUGCCAAGCCGCGAGGUGGAGCUAAUCCCAUAAAACCGAUCGUAGUCCGGAUCGCAGUCUGCAACUCGACUGCGUGAAGUCGGAAUCGCUAGUAAUCGUGAAUCAGAAUGUCACGGUGAAUACGUUCCCGGGCCUU